This is a long non-coding RNA of Cygnus olor (mute swan), 12973 nucleotides long. RefSeq lists it as uncharacterized. The record is from RefSeq and is a predicted model, not a curated record. The transcript has 2 exons. Lineage: Eukaryota; Metazoa; Chordata; Aves; Anseriformes; Anatidae.
AAACCAAAAACCAAGAGCAGCCCAACUGCCCUCACGCUCGUUAAAUCAUCCCGCUACCAGCCCCAGGCUUUUGUCCACCUUUUGUGGUGUCACCCCAACCGGUUUCAGACGGCAAUCAGCCCCGAGAGCCCCAAGCACGGGCUGGCCUCCGUGCCCCCGGGGGUUGCCGAGCCCUCGCUCGCACGCCAGCGAGCCCGGCAAAGCCCUCGAGCCACUGAAACGUAACGCUGGGCUUCUCGUGGUGUUCGUCUGCUUCUGCGGGGACUUACCUGCUUGUCACAUCCCUCCUCGCCUAAAGAGCCGGCUUCUUCCGAAAACCCUGGCCAAUUGCGCAUUGGCACCUUCACCAGGCUGAGCUUGAGCACGGGGCUCAGCAGAAGCAUCUCUGUCGGGACGUGGAAGCCCAGGGGGACGUCCGACGGCACUUCCCUGCACCGAGCAUCGCCGCCUGCAGCCAGCGGUGAGCUGCUCAGACAAUUCCAGCCUCCGCGGGUGGCUCCCGUUCCCCGGGCAGGCUGAUUUCUGCCACCAGGCUUCCUGCGUGGUGGGCAGGCAGGGCCACGAUCCUCUGCCCGUCUCGAAGCACGAUGAUGAGAACACGCUGCAGACUUCUCAGCAAAGAGCUGCAUCCUCCUGCUGGCCUUAUGCACGAGACACAACCCGCUCUGUGCCGCCACGCGGCGCGGCCGUUCCUCCCCGCCAGCAGAGCCCCUAAAUGCUCGGCUCCCAUCACGGCUCUCGGUUUGGGAUUAUUUUAUUCUCUCUCCUUGGCAGGGAGCUUUAUUGCUGUGUGCACAGGCAAACACCGAGCAAAGGCAAGUUAUUUUUCCAAUAAAAGUCACUUGGGUUGAGCCAGGCUGAAUCUCAUUUUGCACUUCCUGCUUUUAUUUCCAGCUUCCAUUUAUUUUCCUGUCCCCGCCGCCGCGUCCAGCCCUUGCACUGCAGCUUUAGCCACACGUGUAACUGAAGCUGGCUGUGUUAUUACCACCUCUUAAAGACUAAAGACUGUUAUGCUACCUGGCUGCGCUCACAGGCCCUGAAGCAGCUGCGUCCCUCGUAUUUUGCCCUUCUACCUGAAUUGUCUCUUAUUACCAUUAUUUAUAGCUUCCGAUAAAAAUGAAAGCAGUGCCCAAGUAGCCUGAAUGGAUUAGUUAACCUUACACGCCAACGAGCAUCCUGCAUGCUGGACUUCAGACGAAUCUGUACCAGACAACUCUGCCCAUCAGCACCAAAAAUGCUCAGAAAAAAAAAAAAAAAGGAACUGCAAUAACUCCACCUGCACAAGUGAGAUCCUGUUCGGGACAAGGCACAGAUCCAUUCACGAAGGACAACCUGAAGAAAUGAGCCCGAAGCGCAUUUGACUUCAUCUCCGUCUCCCCAAAACAGCUAUUUUUAAGGAAAAUAACAAAAACACUACUUUAUUUCAAGCUUAUUUCACAGGGAUCUCUAUUAUUUGGAAGAAUAAUAUAAUAAGAAUAAUUAGAUCACAUUUCCCAGGAAAGAAUAUUUUGUUAUUUGCUUCAGACUUCCUUAUUUUAGCUUAAAAACUAGAAAUAAGGAAAUGGACAAAUAACGAUUAAGUGCACAAUAAUGAUUACGUAAUGAUAAAUGUGCAGCAGGUCCAUAAAAGGACUGAGUCGGGUUUUUGUUUUUUUUUUUUUUACCCCCAUUACUACUUGUUGCAAAAGAGUUAACUUUCCACGGCGAUCUACAAUAGCGCCCGAAGCUUUUAGAAUAAAAACACAACCCCCCCGGCAUAUUUACUGCCGCCUGUGGAUGUGUCGCCUACCAGGUUCCCUUCCAGCGCCCGUUUUGGAAUCCUCUCCAGAACAAAGCGCUUGUGAGUUGGUCUGGCACGCAACAACUCCUGGCACGGCACCAGCAAGGGACGGGCACUUUUAGCUGCUGCUUCCGAACCAAGCAGCAAACAAGCAGGGCCAGCACAUUACAGAGCAGAGAGGAAAAACUGCCGGAGUUUGUGGGUUUGUUUGGGGUUUUUUUUUUGUUGUUCGUUGGGUUUUUGUGCGUUGUGACUGGUGGUUUGUUUGUUUGUUUGUUUUUUUUUGGUCAAUCGAUAAAUUCAAAACCAAAACCCUGCUCUUAACAUGAUUUCACUACCAACUACUGCUAGCGGGCAGAAACAGGCAGACCCGGAUGAACGGUCUACGGAAGUAUUUCAAGCCUGCAAGCCUGCUUUGGCUCAUCACCAGAACAUUUGUAUCAUUUAUUUAUUAUUUUAUUUUUAUUCCACCCGGGCCAGCCCGGUGCUAGCAGGCAGCAUUUUUGGCCACCGGCGGCUGCCACGCAGAUCGCCAGCGACCACAAGGUAAAUCCACACCUGAAACAAAAAGCCCCAAGCAUGGGGCAAAUCGGACGACUCCAAAAAUUGGGGUCCAGACCAUAAACGUCCCUUUCUGUUCAGGCCACCGCAACAGACGCUUCCUGCGGCAUUUCCAGCUUGGAGUGCCGGAGGAACCUCGGUGAAGGCCGCCCCGGCAGCGGUCCGGCUGCGCUGCCGGACUGCAGGAGCGAUAACCAAGCUAACCACCCCGCCUGGCUUUGCUCUUGCUUUGUUUCCUAAAGAGAUGUUUCCUACAGCCCUGCAUGAGAGGGCAGGGUCUCCGAAAGCUCACGCUGGGGUUUUUCUAGCCCUUAAAUGCAAAGGAAGCUCAAUGACAUCCAACGUUUCCGACGGAUCCCGCCUAGAAGCGACCACUUCUCCGAGCACCCAGGGCAGCGUGGCGGAAGGCAACGAGUAACACAGGCUGCACCUCCCCGACAUGAGACGGUCGAGCUCCUGCAUUUCAGUGCAAGGAGCGCUCGAGCCCAUGGGGUUCAUUGCUCUGCCGGCCCCAAAAAGCCUCUUCUGGUCCCCACGUGCCGCCUACGGCCCAAAGACCCCCAGCAGCGCUGCGCUACGAGAUGCAAGCAGAAGCGACAGCGCUUCACGUGGAAUUUGAGGUCUGACUCCAAGCCGUGAAGUUUCUCCUACCUUUACGAACCUUUUAGGGAAGAAAAGCAGCACGACAGCAGCACAAGGAGGCAGAGGACGGGCGAGCCACCUGACGAGCAGCUGCGUUGGGAGGCAGAGCCACGCCAGGCACAACAAGAGGAGCCCAGGAGGCUGCGUACCCGCGCCAGCCCCUCCGGCUGCCGGGGCCAGCCCUGGUACUGCUCUGCUGCCCGCUAGCUGCGCAGCUCGUGGCACCUCAGGUCAGUUCGAUGAGAAAUUAAGAAGGAAAACGUUCCUCUUGUGGAUGGGUAACCCCAGCCAGAGCACCGGCAAUUCCCAGGCACGGUGCUCCAGCUCGAGCGGUCGGGUACGCGCACAAAUCUGACCUUUGCAGGCGUGUUCUGCAACGGGAUUUAUCUGCUCCGUUCCGACUUGCUGACCUUCAUCCUGCCCAGCCAAACACAACCACAGCAAAGGGCUCUCAGCUCCCCACGAGAGGGACAAGGCACUCCAUGGACACCACCUACCCACUGCAUCUUCUUCCACAGCUUCAGAAGGGCGUUGUUAAACGCCUACAGAAGCGAGCAGGGGCACAAAACACCACAAACGACAGCCCAGGACUGAGCCUGUGUUACAGCACGCAGCGCGGCAGGGCUCUCAUUUCCCGGCGGGGGCCUCUGGCUCCCUGCACAGCCCCGCACCCCUUCUGCGGACGGGAAGGGGACCCUAACUCUAAAGGCCCCAUAAACACGUUUUACUUCUCACCGAAGCCACGCAGGUAGAAAAAUCUCUGCAGGAGUACAUCAUUGCAAACAAAGGGGAAAAAAAAAAAAAGUGAUUUGCUAAAGACAUGGCUCCAGAAGACUUGCAAGGAAUUCACGGUGAGCAGACCUCUGCCCUCCCUGUAAGCUCAAAGCAUUAAUCCAGGAUCCAGCUCCUUACCGAAGAGGCCGAGCACAAAGUUUCUACUUUUACCUGCAGCAGCGUCUUACCCACGCAGGAAAGCCCCACGAGUGGUUUCUGAGCAGCAACCACGGGUAAAUUCACUCGGGAUCUAAAAGCCACGAGCUCGCAGAUGAAGCCAGCACGAUGCUGGCUGCCAGGAAAAGGCAGCCUGAGGAGGAUACCGACACCUCUGUCGGCCUUCCGCGGGGCAUUGUUCCUCUAGCAAAUUCAGGUUAUAAUCCUUUGGUGUCUGAGGCUCUCCUGAUCAGGAGAAGAAAGGAAUGGAUUGGGAAGACGGCUCGAAUGGUCUUCAUGCUCGCUUGUUUCUGAUAACACAGAAGGAAGCUUUACUUAAUAAAGGCAAUAUUUGGAAGAUAUUCCUUUAACAGGUACCCUCUUCCAGGGGACUAUACCUCCAAGGAAGCUCACACCCAAGAAAUCCCUGCUUCUUAUCGAUUAAGAAAAAAAAAAAUCUGGGACCCUGGCUCAGUUUUGGCAGCGCUGCCUCUGUCCAGGCUUGCUCCCUUCCUCACCACACCGCUCACGUGCUUCGUCUUCCAAGACGUCAGCCUGAAAGCAAAGUCCACGGCCCCGUGCAUCGGCCAGAACACUGCCUCCGCGUUUCCAGGCGCCUCCCUUACCUUGGAGCUCGUCGUGACUCAGCAGAGAGGGGAAAAUAAAAAAAAAAAAAAAAAAAAAGCUCCUGCCACUCAGCUUUUCCCUUUCUGUUCCCCUCGAAUGGCGACAGAAAUUUAAAAAAAAAGAAAAAAAACCACUGCUUCUCAGUAAACCUUUUAUGGAAGACCUGGCAAAUCUCUGAACCUCACGGACAGAUCUUAAGGAGGAGACUCGUUCUGCUGCCUCCAGCCGCUCUGCCUGCACUCAAACAGCAACACAGAGCUCAGCACCAGGCGCAGCCACACGCUGAGCUGCAGCAGCAUCCUCAGCCCCCACGCCCACACUGCACGGGGCAGCGAUGUUUGGAGCUUUCUUUGUCGCAGGAAGGGAGGCAAGGAAUUAAUUCUGAUCAGAGGAGGGAAAAGAGCUCCUCUGGGCUGCAUGUCAACCAUCGGCUGGCCUGGGCAGAGGAAGGCAGAAGAGGACGAGGAUGUUGCAGCUCCCUUUUGGCACAGGGAGCAAAGCACUGACUGUGGGGACGUCUGGGCUCGAGGCAGCUCCCGUCCCCCACGCUCUGGAUUUGCGAGAGCACGAGGAAGACUUCCCUGCUCUGGGUCAGCGGCUGAUGAUGGGUCUGAGCCUGUCGAGCAGCCUCCCAACUCCCCACGCCGUUGCUUAGCUCGGUCCCCACCUACUCAUGCGCUCGAGGGCCCGCUCCGGCCACGUGUGCUUGUGGCACUGCGCCCGGAGAGCCCUGCUGCGACCCGAGGAGCACCCGGAGAGCCAGCAGCCCCUCUCUGGAGCCCUCUUAAGAGCCUCUCCCCACGCACAAGGCUCCCAGACUUCAUUUCAUUCUCCCCGCUGGCACCAGCGACAACACCGGCACGUUCACCGCCUGCUGGAGUCCAGGCCAGAAGCGAAGUAUUAAAAAAACAAGAAUAAUAAGCCUUCAAAUAACAGGUUGCUAAAGCACAGGGAUUUCAGGAAGAGCGCAGCCACUUCUGCAGAUGUUGACCUUUCUGUCGCUGCCGCACGCAGUUUAAAACCCCAAAAGCACCGGGCUGGCCCCGAACGCAGCCUCCUGCCCAGCUUGUUCUAGUAACUACCCCUGAGAAGCCGCAGAAACGAGGAUUUGCUCGCCUGCUGCCCUGCCCCAGCGAAUGCUGCCCAGCCCCUUCGGCCCUAAGUGACUGAAAGAGCACAAAGCAGCGCGCUUGCCCGAGCAAAUUGCCAGCCCUAAGGCCAACCCGACAGCAGAGCUAAUUAUCCGUAUGCUGACUUUCCAAACCCAAACCAAUUUUGAAGCGGAGGGAAGGAAAUUCCAGCAGACAGGCGCACGGCGCGUCCUCGUUUCUGCAAGAGGAACGGCACCUGGGAACAGGCUGGCGAUUACAAAGGAGGAAUUCUUUAUGAUGACCUAAAGCUGAAUCAGAAAUGUUAUUAAAGGACGUUACUUCCUACGGUACAUCCACGGGAAGCGGAGCAGCCUGGCCUCCCGUUUUUGGCUUUUCACGGAGCCGUGGCAGCCGCCCUACGGCGCAUCGGAGCGGGGAGCACUUGACGAGGGCAGCACCCCGCGAACAACCCAGCCAGCCCGCUGCCUCCGACGAGCCCUCAGAAAGGAGGGCAGCCAAAAGCCGGCUGAAGGAACUGCUCUGGCAGAAAAAAACCCUCCUGGAGGCUCCUCGAACCCAGCGAGAGCAGCACGAGCUAUCCCCAGGAGCUCAGGCACGCGCCUGCUGGAAACACCUCGAGCGCCACGCACACGGGAGCGAAACCAGCCUCGCAGAGGCGCUGCCGACACGCUUACUCAGACGAGGUGCCCCACAGCUAAGGUUUUAGGCUUCCCAAAUUGUUGCGUUUGAGUCAGGACAGCUCCGGAAGGUGCCUCAGCUCCCAGCCUCUGAAGCAUUCGGAAUCUGCGACGCAGCCCCGUAAAGCCCCAAACCCCACACCUCUGUGGGAGCAGGAGGAAAACUCUCACACGCACAGAGGAACACAAAGAGGAACGGCGUGAAAAAGGAAAUUAAAAAGGAACAGCUAGAAGUAUUAAGAGCUUGGGGGCGGCAAGAUAACUGCUUAAGAGACGUGUUUAUAUGCUCCAAGCCAGCAGUACACUAACGACGAAUAAAGGCUUCAAACGCUCACGUACACACGCACCCCCUCAGCGGCAGGAAAGGUUUUCAAGGAAUAAGAGAAAGAUUUUCCAGCUCCGCAAAAUUGAAGAGCACAAAUCCCAGUAAGCUAAAUGCAACUGCAAGAUAAGCUAUUAAAAAAAAAAAAAAAAGACUUUUUAAAAGCUAAUUUUUUAAUAUACGAAAACCUGUAACUUACUCAAACAGCAGAGGGAGGAAACCUGCCAGAGCAAGCAAGGGGGUGGGAGCUCUUCGGGAAAGCAAACCCGGCGUGCAAGGGCUGGCAAAAUGCUCCGCUGCGUGCCACCGGUGGGUCCAGGGAGCUUCUGCACCGAAACCUCUCCUGCCGCCACCGACCGAGGCGUUAACAGAAGGUGCUGAGACCAGCGCAGCAAAACGAACAGUUGCGUUUGCUCACACGCGCGUAGAACUGCCCGGCCACGAACACGGCAUCAGCAACAACCUACUGCUGACGUCGCUGUUACUGCGAGAGGAGCGAAAGACGGAGAACACGACACCCAUUUCCGCGGCACGCGAAGAAUCCAGCCCGCUGCAGAGCGCUGAACGUGACUGGGCGGAGCAGGAAAAGGCUUCCUUACAAAACUGUUAGCAAACUUGUAGAUGUACAAUACGGGAAGGAGGGAACAGCUGCCUCGGGUGGCAUUCAUGGAGUUUAUUUACCAGCGCUCUUUGGAGGAGUCAGGCUUGUUAACCAGGGGCAUCUGGUCAACACUCGCGUGUUAAAAGCACUCAAAACUCCAAGGAAAAAAAAAAAAACAGACGGUUGAUUUUCAUCUAGUUUGUUGUGCUUACCAGCGGUUUGAAGAAGGCCAGAGGCGGAGGGCACAGAACUGUUCGGUUUGAUUAGCCCCAAAGCAAAAAGCUGCAGGGGAUCUCACAAUGCCACUAUCAGGUGAGAGAACAACAAUAAAUUCAGUGUCGGCAGCCUAAAGCAGGGCGCUUGCUGGGGAGGAAGCGGGGACAAGCCCUUUGUCAUACACCAGCAGCGAGGGGCCCCAAAUUAACUGCGGCCACCGAGGAGGAAAGACGGGAGUGUUAUUAGGGCCACACUGCCAGCAGGGCUGGCUCAGGCCAGAGAGACCCCAAGGAACCAUGAGCAGAAGGGAAAGCAAAGCCCAAAACAUCACCGUGCCGCUUAAUCCAGCUCAAGAACCGAAUCUGCACCUUCAUCACUACGUGCAGCUCGGAUCUUCCCAGCGUCGCUGCAAAAAGGUGAGAGCUCUACGAGAAAAGAUGCCAGGAAAAGCGACAGAGAUCGUGGGCGAUUCAGAACAGCGCUAGCAGGAAAACUGACUGAAUUGGUUCAGAGCUUCCAGCUUGGAAGGCGAAACAAGAAAAAUAGACAGGGAAACGAAGGGAAAACAAAAAAAGGCAACAACUGAACAACAAUUUCUCAUAAUCCUUCGUGACAGCCCAGGCCUUGUCCUAGCAGAAAACAAUUUGAAGCCCUCAAGAAGUACACAAUGCGCAACUAAGCUGCAGAAUUCAUCACCUUGAAAGGUUUGAAUGUUAGAGCAAUAGCCGGCUGAGUGAUGAGACGGGGAAAAGACCCGUCAGAAGCUCGCGAGCAGAGCGGUGCUGGUGCAAUCCGAGCAGCGAACUCCGAAGGACAGACCGAAGAAACCAGACGCGUGUGCCCGUACCUGCUCUGAACUCGGUUCGAUAAGCACCCCUUCCUCACGGCCGUCGGAGACAAAACAACGAACACGAAGGGCCUUUGAUGUGACCGGCACAAACAUUUGCAAGAUUUUCUUAACUAUCCAUCAGAGGGCAACUCCUUACGUUUAUCCUGAGCCCCCACUGCUGCAGCUGUAGUCCAGACCUCAGUAACACACAGCAAUACUGUAAGAAUAAUAUACAGCAAUUCUGCGGUUUUUAUUUAAUAAAAAAGCUCUUCUUCAUCUUUUCAACAGUCUGUCCUAUAUCUGAAGAUGAAUUACAUGCCCGCCUUGUCUUCUCUGGGUUAAGCAAUCCCAGUCAUUUCAUGGUUUUUUCCUCAGAGGCUGUUUUUGCUCUCCUCUGGGACGAGGGAAUCACAAAAAAACGUAUUAUUAGGCUUCUGCGUCCACAGAAUAAAUGUCCAUUUUAUUUAAAAAAAAAAAAACUUCCAACCACUGAAAGUGGAAUCGGGAGGAGCACGACAGCAGGGACAGAGCAGGUAGCGUUCAACGCCGCAGGGCCGGCUUCCAAAGCAGCCCAGCAGAGCUCCGAGGAGGAGCCCGGCUGCCAGCCCCGAGGAAAUACUGCGAAGUCACACGCAGCGACAGCUCCAGAGGACAGCAGCGCGGACUCCUACGGCAGCUUCUCCCUAACGGUACCGGGGAAAUCUCUCCCUUUAGCUUACGACCUCACAACACUGCCGCCAGGCAUCAAAGGUGCCCGGGGGGUAAGCAGAGAAACAAAGUCGGUGAGCUGCAAGAGCCCAGACACACUUCCACAGCCCCCGGAACAGGAACAGGCACUCGAUAAUCUGCCCCUUGACAGUGAUUCAUUAAAUUCCAGAAAGGAAUGUACUUCUGUGAGAGAAAGGAAGAAAAACGCAAGCUAUAAAUAACCGGGCAGCACAUUCCCGCAAGCUGUUCCCUUCAGCCUGCACCGGGGUGCGGACUGAAAUAAAAAGGGUUACACAAUUAUAGGGAUUCGCCGUCCCAAAGCGGUUUCCAGAACCUUAACGCUGCAAGCGAGGAAUUAUUCCUAAAAGCUGGCGUCGUGAAGUGAAGCGUACCUCCAGGCAGGGCUUGCCGUGCCAUGCGCGUCCGUCUCCUGACGUACCUUUAGUGCUGGUGCUGAAUUACUUCACAGGAGCCCUCGCUGGUUAUUUUUCUUUUCCUCUCCACAGCAGAAAACACGGAGCUGAAGAGCAUCAGCCUGACCAGAAGGGAACACUAAUAUAAUUCAAGCAGCACUGCAACGAGCUGUCUUUUAAAAGACACUUAAUUACGUGCAUAUGAACAGCGGCACAGGCUCGUUUGCAGGAGAUUGCAGUUUCCCCGUCUGGGUGGCAGGAGAACGGGCUGAAAGAUGCUUCAAAAGAUCCCGCGAGGCUUUUAUUAGCAGACAAUUCACAGUUGCUACAAGCAGCUUCCUGAGCGAGCUCUGCGGGCAGCAGUCAGCGUCUGGACGGGCUGUGCCCUGCCGCUUCUCCGCCGCGCUCCCUCGCCGGCGGCCGGCCCUUGGCGCUCGCCGCACGUAGCGCGGAGAUGGGACGGGCACAGCCACCCGAAGCAGCUGGAGGGCACCAAGCGGCGGCCACGACACCUCGGUGAAGUUUUGCCUCCGCAAGUCCGCUCAGCUGUCUGCCUCGGGGGAUUUUUAUUUUUUUUAUUUUAUUUUUUAAAACGGAUGCUGCGUGUAGUUUUUGAGUGCUCUUCAGUUCUUACCCGGCUUGGGACCUCGAUGGGGAACUUCGUGGCCGGUCCCAGCACGCGUACGAGAAGAUCCCAACCCUGCUCCACGCUGCCCUGCCCUCCUGCUCGGCUGGAGGACAGCGCAGCAGUCGCAGCCGCCUGCCACCAGCGUUGGUAGGCGCGAGCAGGAGGGUGCCCACCGUGCCCUCUUCGCGCCUCCCCGCGGAAAUACUCAGCGGGAAGCUCCUAAACCCGCCGCCUGUCGCUGCCCCUCGCUCCACAUCUGCGACGCAGACCCUUAUCCUCGUCUCACCCACGGCAGCAGACGAGGACCAGCCCGGCUGCCCGUCCUGCCCAGCACCCAGCCCCGAAGGCUGGCACAGCACCGCUGCUCCUGCUCCCUGCCGACACCCCAAAAACCAGCUCCGCUCCCCAGCCGAGCACCCUUCUGCCAGGUGAGGAGCUGAAGCAGCUCACAGAGGGCAAAGCCAAGCCGUGGAUGUCAGGUAUCUGACAGCACAGCUGGCCCCCAGACCCAGCCGUCACAUCCCUCGUGCCACCCACCCUAGGCACUGGGAUGCCACAAAACGAGCCCGAGAUGAAGCGGGGGGCGAAGUGAUCCAGCCGAAAUAAUGAAGUGGGAAAGGGGAGGGCAGUGUUUCCGCACCCACCUGAGCCCUGCGCCACGCUGACACCUGGGAGGAGGAAAUGAAAGACGGGGAAAAACGCCUGUGGCAGUGCCAGCUGCCAAGCCGUGCCCCGUAGCCCCGGGAGGCACCCAGCACUCACCUGCCGGCUUCGUGCCCACCUUCGCAACACAAGAGGGCAGGGCAGGGCAGGACGAAGACACCCGGCUCUCAUAAGCUUUUGGUUUUUUAUGUAGCUGGGUCAUUUUUUCCACCCAGCCCCAUUGCCGAUGGGGUUUACCAAGGACGCACCUCCCAGCUGAGGAGGCGCUGGGCGCUCAGAGGGACUAACGGGAGCCCCACCACCUGCCUGGCCCUGAGAGCCAAGCCCCAGUUUUCAGAGCUCUGCACCAGAAAACGGAACGGGACAGGCACAGAGGCUGCGACAGAGCCAGGACCCCAGCAAGCUGCUGCUAUUCGUCCUGCAAAACAACGGCUCCAGCCCGGAGCAGCGAGAGGGGAGCUUGGGGCGCCCCCAAAACCAGCGCGGAGCCUCGGCGCUCAGCCGGCAGGACUGCCAUGCUACUUUCUUUACUCCCAGAAAAUAUUUUUAUUUGUUAUCCCUUUGAAUCAGGAGACCCAGAACGCUACACGAGGCGGCUGAGGACCUCCGGCUCCGGUGUUGAAGCAGGACCACGGCACGGGGCGGGUGCAGGCAGCAGGAUGAGCACGGCACGGUGCCGGGAUGAUAAAAGGGUCGGCCAGGCAGCUACGGGUCAGCCGGGACGACGCUAAUCCCAAACACAGUCGUGGAAAACUCGAUAAAGGAUUAAGAGAAUAGAGCCUAAUUACAGUCCUGCUUUAAUCUCCGCCGAGAGCUGCUUAGGAGAAACUACACCCUAUCAAGUGGGCUCAGUUUCAUUCUUAGGUUAAACAACUCUGUAAUCUCCCCAACAAGCACAAUUAGCAGACAGACACCAAACUCCUGUUAAAAGUACAGUUCUGUAUCAAAGCACGCAGGGAAUGACUAAUUGCUGUUUGAGAUCUAAGGUUUGUCAGCUUUCUGAAGGGGUUCAGGUAAGUACAAGCCCUAGCGUAGCUGAUAAAAUCUCAACCACCGAGGAACAAUCCAGAAAGUAAAUAUAUAUCUCAAAAGAAAAAAAAAAAAAAAACAAAAAAAAACGAUGAUAUAAUUUGCAGAUGACACAAAAGCUGGCAGAGUAACAGCGCCUGAAAUCAGGCAGCUACGGAGAACAAUCCCUUGCAAACCUCGGUCCUUCCCAGCAGCUCACGCUGCAGCAGCCUCCAGUACAAAGGUACAGGCGGAGCCACGAGGAGCACGAUCCACAGCUUCCAGCAACUGAAUUCCCAAGAAAACAGCUCCGCAUGAAGUACUAAACCCUGCUCUAAUGCUGAGGAAAAGACAGCUGCUCCAAGCUCUCAGGGUAUGAACAGGAGACUACUCCGGAGAGCACAGACAGAAUUUUACCCGCACCUAAAGCGCUGAGGAGGCAGCGGGAACGCUGUGGCUAUGUCUGUGUGGCCGGAGGGGUUUUUGCUUUAAUUUAUCGAACACUGCUUAAAAAUUCUUCCCCGAUUUCUAAAAGCUGCCAGUGCAGCUUGAGAGCAAGAAAGGCAAGGCAUCUGAAGCAGCGGCCGAUUUAAGAAGCUCGAGCCGUAGAACUGCAAAGCAGAUUAAGAAGUCACUUGCAAAUCCAAGCGCCCACUUUAACCGUGAGAUGACAUCGGCUGCUAAAGGACACUGCAGAGUAACAGGGGAAGCGACAGCAAAAUAUCCGCAGGCUGAAACCCAAAAAAGAAAAUGCAAAAUGAUCAGCAAGUCAUACAACCACACGGGCUCGUCCGUCGGUGACGGGCUGAGCACGGGGAGAAGCGAGUGACGCUGCGUGGCCCACGUACACGGGCUGUCGUACAGAAUAACCCCGCUGCUUCGCCUGCCCUUACCCCGUACCGGUCUGAGUCAUUCGUUUAUGAUCUGGGAGCACAGCACAAAACAGGGAGCUGAAGAUAAGACAUUAUAUGUGAAGAGCUAGGGAGAAGUUAGAAAAAGUCACAGAAGGCAGUAAAACAGCAUUAGCUACGUGAUAACCUUUGUGUGUUUUAGGGGAAGCAGCAGCGGUGAGAUAUUUCAGGACAAGCACUCAGCAAACGCUGCACGAGGUUGCACGGUGAGGGACCAGCCUCUUCCCCUGAGUGACUUCGGGUUAGAAAGUGCAGAGGCGUCCAGCAGCGAGGGCGACGCAGCAACCAGCCCCGCUCACGGUGACCGCGGCUACAUCGUGGUCCAGCACUAGCUCCCUCUCACUG